RNAcentral lists this ribosomal RNA (506 nucleotides) under uncultured bacterium. RNAcentral's name for it is "partial 16S ribosomal RNA". It matches the Rfam family "Bacterial small subunit ribosomal RNA", at positions 29 to 523 of the family's 1533-position model. The record is from RNAcentral.
AACGAACGCUGGCGGCGUGCUUAACACAUGCAAGUCGAACGCGAACGGGUUCUUCGGGACCUUAGUAGAGUGGCGCACGGGUGAGUAACGCGUAAGUUAUCUACCUCGGCAUCUGGAAUAACUCACCGAAAGGUGUGCUAAUACCGGAUACGUUGAGUAAUCGAGAAAGGUGGCCUCUCUUUGAUGCUACCGUGCUGAGAUGAGCUUGCGUACAAUUAGCUAGUUGGUGGGGUAAUGGCCUACCAAGGCGACGAUGGUUAGCGGGUCUGAGAGGAUGAUCCGCCACACUGGAACUGGAACACGGACCAGACUCCUACUGGAGGCAGCAGUGAGGAAUAUUGCGCAAUGGGGGCAACCCUGACGCAGCGACGCCGCGUGGAUGAUGAAGGCCUUCGGGUCGUAAAAUCCUGUCAGGUGGAAAGAAAUGCAUAUGUGCUAAUACCAUGUAUGCUUGACGGUACCACCGAAGGGAGCACCGGCUAACUCCGUGCCAGCCGCCGCAGUAA